AUACGGAGGAUGCAAGCGUUAUCCGGAUUUAUUGGGUUUAAAGGGUGCGUAGGCGGUUUGCUAAGCGGGAGGUGAAAUGCCGGCGCUCAACGUCGGAAGUGCCUCCCGAACUGGUGGACUUGAAUGACUCUGCCGUGGGAGGAAUGUGUAGUGUAGCGGUGAAAUGCUUAGAGAUUACACAGAACACCGAUUGCGAAGGCAUCUCACGAAGGGUUGAUUGACGCUGAGGCACGAAAGCGUGGGGAUCAAACAGGAUUAGAUACCCUGGUAGUCCACGCAGUAAACGAUGAUGGCUAACCGCUGGGCUUAUCAGUUCAGUGGCCAAGCGAAAGCGAUAAGCCAUCCACCUGGGGAGUACGACCGCAAGGUUGAAACUCAAAUGAAUUGGCGGGA
RNAcentral lists this ribosomal RNA (393 nucleotides) under uncultured bacterium. RNAcentral's name for it is "partial 16S ribosomal RNA". It matches the Rfam family "Bacterial small subunit ribosomal RNA", at positions 523 to 918 of the family's 1533-position model. The record is from RNAcentral.